AAGUCGUAACAAGGUAACCGUAGGUGAACCUGCGGUUGGAUCAUUACCAAAUAUCCAAUAGGGUCAAGAGUUUCGACUCUUUGAUCCUAUUUCCACCUCUUGUGAAACGUAAUGUAUUUGGCGGGCCCUGCUCUGCCUCUUUGUAGCCUUGUGCUACUCGGAGGGCCUACAGAGAUUGCUUGUGAGGGCACUCAACUGCCCUCAACCGUCAUGUUAACACACCUAAUAAUAUUAUACCAACAAUCUGACGCUUAUAUGCUAGAGUGCGCGUUUGCGUGCUUUGGAACAUAACCGAAAACAACUUUUGACAACGGAUCUCUUGGCUCUC
RNAcentral lists this unclassified non-coding RNA (328 nucleotides) under fungal sp. Its description in RNAcentral is "partial internal transcribed spacer region". The stretch from base 1 to 46 matches the Rfam family "Eukaryotic small subunit ribosomal RNA", at positions 1786 to 1831 of the family's 1831-position model. Lineage: Eukaryota; Fungi. The record is from RNAcentral.